This 1769-nucleotide long non-coding RNA is filed under the name Podarcis lilfordi (Lilford's wall lizard). The record is from RNAcentral. Lineage: Eukaryota; Metazoa; Chordata; Lepidosauria; Squamata; Lacertidae.
GUCUGACGUGGCUUCUGAUUGAGUGCAGGAAGCUCCUGCAGCCAAUCGGAAGCCACACCUUGGUUUUUGAAUGGUUUCAGGAAUCGAACGGAGUCCCGGAAUGGAUUAUGUUCGAGAACCAAGGUACUUACCUUUUCCUGCUCACCUCAUGCUGUAUGUGACAGGUGUACAGUCACAUCUCGUGUUGUGUUUGCUUCAGGUUGAGCGUUUUCAGGUUGCGUCCCGCGAUGACCCGGAAGUACCAGAAAGGGUUACUUCCGGGUUUCGCCGCUCGCGCAUGCGCAGAUGCUCAAAAUGACGUCAAGCGCAUGCACAGAAGUGGCAAAUUGCGACCCGCGCAUGCACAGAUGUGCAAACGCAGGUUGCGUUCUGCUCAUAGAAUCAUAGAAUCAUAGAGUUGGAAGAGACCACAAGGGCCAUCGAGUCCAACCCCCUGCCAAGUUCGCAAUCCCAUUCGCAACCAGAGGUACCACUGUCUGUUGUUUUAGACUGGAAGCUAAACAGAGCGUGCUGAAGGCCAGACAGAGGGGUCUGGACCAUUUCGACUCCCAAGCCUGAGGUUUGCCCACCCCAGUAUAAAGGGCCGUGCAGAUAAUGUGAUGCAAAGGAUAUUGAACUUUCAGCAAAACACCGUGAUUCAUUAACCAACCCUGGCGCUUCAGAAAUGCAGUGCUAAAUUUCUAAAUGUGCAUUCCUGUGCCGAGAAGUGUGACAUGUCCCUCUGCUAGACUGGCUUCCCGAAUCCCCUUGACCCUUACCCUCGCAUUUCUAACCUCCUCACCUUUGCUGUGAUAAACGUCAAGGGCUAAGCUCCUUACUGCCUGCUGUGGAACCCGGCACAUACUUGCACAUGGCUCCCCAAAUCAACACAGACUGUGGAAACUUCACACUGGACUUCAAGCAUCUGGUAUUGUGUGCCUCCCCAUUCUUCCUCCAGACUCUGGGGCCUUGGUUUCCAAAUGAGAUGCAAAAGCUGCUCUCAUCAGAAAAGAGAUUUGGGGAGCCAUGUCAUCAGCUGGUGUUGGUCCACUGUGCUUCAUUAAGUCCAGGGUCCACGCAGCUGUCUACCAGGAGAUUUUGGAGCACUUCAUGCUUCCUUCCGCAGACGAGCUUUAUAGGGAUGCUGACUUCAUUUUCCAGCAGGACUUUGGCAUCUGCCCACACUGCCCAAAGUAUCAAAACCUGGUUCAAUGCCCAUGGGAUUACGGUGCUUGACUGGCCAGCAAACUUGCCUGACCUGAACCCCAUGGAGAAUCUAUGGGGCAUUGCCAAGAGACAGAUGAGAGACAUGAGACCAAGCAAUGCAGAAGAGCUAAAGGCUGCUACUGAAGCUUCUUGGUCUUCCAUAACACCUCAGCAGUGCCACAGGCUGAUAGCAUCCAUGCCACGCCGCAUUGAGGCAGUAAUUGAUGCAAAAGGGCCCCAAACUAAGUACUGAGUACAUAUGCAUGCUUCUACUUCUCAGAGGUCCAAUAUUGCUCUAUUUGCAGUCCUUGUUUUGCUGAUUUCAUUUAAUAUUCUAAUUUUCUGAGAUUGUUAUUUUGGGGUUUUCAUCAGCUGUACGCCAUGAUCAUCACAAUGAUAACAAAUAAAGGCUUGACAUAUCUCGCUUUGCAUGUCAUGAGUCUGUCUCAUAUAUUAGUUUCACCUUUUAAGUUGAAUUACUGAAAUAAAUGAACUUUUCCACAAUAUUCUAAUUUUCCGAGUUUCACCUGUAAAAUGAUGAUGAUGAUGAUGACUUUGCCCUUUCCUUUUUACCAGUCUCCUGC